This is a long non-coding RNA of Diceros bicornis minor, 491 nucleotides long. RefSeq lists it as uncharacterized. The record is from RefSeq and is a predicted model, not a curated record. Lineage: Eukaryota; Metazoa; Chordata; Mammalia; Perissodactyla; Rhinocerotidae. The transcript is spliced from 3 exons.
CAUCUAUACAUGUUAUUAAACUUGGUAUUAUUGUCUCCUGCUAACCUGUCUUGUUAAUUAUUUGGCCAGCCAUAAGAACCUUAAGGAAAAGGGCAGAGGGAGAGUCUCCCUCUACCUCGACACAUACCAGACUGGAAACCAGAAGUCUCAUAGACAUUUUUUUGACUUCUUUACGGAGAUAUAAUUGACAUUCACUCAAAAUGAAUCAAUUUCAAAGAAACACAACCAAAACUUUGAUGAAUGAAGAGACAACUGAACAUUUACAAGCCACAUUUUGGCCACUAGAUACAAGUCUUUUAUGAGUCAAUCAGGUUUCUGGACUAUCCUCCCAUGAUGCUGGAAUGAUGGACAAAAAUCUUUUAUGCCACCCCAGAUUGAGAAUGAAAUCUAUUCUUGAACCGAAGAAGAAUGCUCUAGUGGUGAGCUUCCUAACUCUAAGUUCAAAGGUGGAGGAAACACACACUACAUGUCACAUGGCCUUGUCUACGUUU